Misgurnus anguillicaudatus (oriental weatherfish) is the source of this 2912-nucleotide non-coding RNA. The record is from RefSeq and is a predicted model, not a curated record. NCBI's taxonomy places the organism in Eukaryota, Metazoa, Chordata, Actinopteri, Cypriniformes, Cobitidae.
UGUAAAUUACACUGUAUUUUACUGUAAUAUGAACUGUAUUUUACCGUAGGGCAUGUUAUACAGUAUGUUGCUGUAUUUUGAUGUUGCAUUGUGGGAAAUGUAAUCUUUGUGCCAGUAAAAUACUGUAUUUUCUAUUUACUGUAAAAUUUACAGUUAAUUAAAAAUACUGUAUUUUAAUAGCAGGUGGUGCUAAUUUGUUUUUUGGGGAUUAACUCUCUGAUUAAGCUAUCUUAUACAAAUAAUGUAAUAUUAUUGUAUUUAUAUAUUGAUUUAAAAUGUAAAGUAAAAUUCAGAAGACUUAAACAAAGUCCUAAAAACAAUCAAACAACUAAAUUAGUGCAAGUAGAGCUGAUUUAUUUAUCAAAACACAAUAUAAUCAUCUUCAUUAAAGUAUUUUGUAUAUUCGAAUUAAUUUAUAAAUGUAAGUGUUUAAAAAUUAGAGAUAGGUUUUGCCGGUUGUUGAUGAGUGAUGAAUACCAGGUGUGAAUUUUCUCAACGCGUGUAAGCAGCCAAGACACAGGAAACCGAAACAGUGUUCCAAUAUAAAGUGAGGGUCCUUGACAGUGGCCGAACCCGCAUACUACACGAUAUAAUGAUUCCCCACCUCGGGAGCUAUAGGGAACGAAUUGAGACACAGCCCUGGAUGUAAUCACGUCUGUGCUGAUCACGUGCCUGUACACAAACCCGCCGCAGCUCACUUGCGAAAGAUUAUCCUGUUAUUUAUUACACGUAUAGUAAACGUUUUUAAUGUUAUCAUGAAUCAAUGUUAUAGUUUUGUAUGUCACAUUAUUUUUUGAGAAGAGUCAUGACUCAACGCGGACCUUACACGCUGUUAAUUUGUGUGUGCAUAUGGCCAAGGUACAGUGCGCUCUUUUGCACUCUAUGACCAGCCAUCAUUAAAUCGAAAUACAGUAAAAAAAAUGAGCGCGAAACCCUGACACUUUACAGAAAGGCACGGAUAUCCCCGCCCGAAGAAAAAAAGAACACAGGACAAUGGUUGCAAGUUAAACAGCUGAACAUUUCACCAUCUGCAAAGAACAUUUCACCAUCGACAUAUCAACAUAAACGGUUCUCUUUUUCGUGUUUGACUGUGUUUGGUACAGGUGAGUGUUCAUAUGAAAUGCUAGGCGACAAACUGAGCUUUUGUGUUUAACGCUAUUUUGAAGUCAGUCUCUCAGUUUCUCUCUAACAUGCACAUCUAACAAGGAAUAAUUGACGAUGGGUCGUUGAAUUAAAUUGAUAUAACUACCAGUAAGAAAAAGUGUGUGUGUGUGUGUGUGUGUGUGUGUGUGUGUGUGUGUGUGUGUGUGUGUGUGUGUGUGUGUGUGUGUGUGUGUGUGUGUGUGUGUGUGUGUGUGCGCGCGUGUGCAGGUCACAACAACAACGGCAGAUGCAGAGACCACGCUUUCCCUUGCUUCUACUCCACGGCUGAUCAUGCUUGAGGAUCCAGAUCUACAAAACAAAAAAUGGAUGCUGCCGAUUGAAGGCAAAGUCCGCUUUCCUGCGAUUGACCUACCAUUUCUUCAGCUUUUGCUGUUCACUUUGGUUGCUACUACGUGCUCAACAUCGAGUACCAAGUGGAAGCAGCCACUACUUUGGAGUUUAUUCAGAGAUUUAUUGUGAGGAUCAGCCCCGACAACAGCAAGUGCUCCUCUAAGUUCCAGGUGAGCAAAAGAAGUGGGAAGAUGGUGCAAAGGAAGAACUCUGGCCUGAACCAUCAUGUAUAUAUCCACCUUUAUUAAGGACUUUAUGAAUUAAGCAAAACUAUUAAGCUACUAAAGCAAAUACAUUCUACUCAACUCACCAGAGGUUUGUGAAGUUCUUUUUUAUCUUAAAGGUUUCUUUUAGUUAAUUUGUCCAUGCACUGAUUUAUAAUAUUGUAAUAUGAAACUCCAGUGUAUACAUGUUACUACUGUUGCUUCUAAAAGCAAAAUAAGUCUACGCAGGAGAGGUUUUGUUACGUUUUUUUUAUUAUUCUUAUAGACGGUUUCAUCGGAUGCACGUGAUACACGUCUGGAUCCGAACCUUACUUCCGGUUUCGCUUUUUUAAUGGUCUGACUAGUUGCUAAACUGAUCUCUUGAACAAAUGCCUCGUCGAAAAUAACAAAUGUUUUGGUUUCCGAGCUAAUCUAUAUGUUUUUUUUUUUUUUGCUUGUUAUAUAAAUAAAAUGCGUUUAAAGAACUUUGUUGUUUUUAUUCUUAGCGGAGUUUAUCGGAAGUUCAUGCGGACCGCGACAGCCGUUUGUUUAUGUUGUUACUGCUGAAACCGUCUAUAGUUAUAACUGAAUUUGUACUAAGAUUAUUUGAUAAUACUGUGAAAUGAAACGGUGAGUAAAUGUUACAUUGGCUUUGAAAAAGCUGUUGCUGCAAGAAAUUACAAUGUACUCAGAAUAAUAUUUUCAAUGUAUAAGUUUUUGACAUUGCUUAUGACUGCAUUUGAAUGUAUUGUUCAUGAAUUGAUGCUGUGAUAUGUGUGUGUAAAUGUUUUGUGUGUUACAGGAUAAAAGAUUUGCUAAAAGUAUUUUGUAUUUGAACAUUGUUAUUAUGACUGAGUUAGUGCAUGACUUGAUUUAAAAUUCUGUAAUAUGAUAUCUAUGAGUAAAUGUUAUUGCCGGUUUGAGAAAAACAGUUUGUGAUGCAAGCUGAAAGUUCAAUGUGCAAAAAUAUGAAAAUCUGAUUUCAUGUAUUUGAAAAACUAAAAGAAAUUUUAAAAACAUGUUGUCAUUGCUUAUUUUUGUUUUUACUUAAAGCUGUUUUAACACCUCCAUUUAAAUUUUGUGCAGUUUUGUAGUAAAUAGAAAUGGGAAAAUGAAUCACAGGAAAUUUUACGGUAAAAUACACAUUGUAAUAUAUACAUUGUAGUAUAAAAUUAUUGUAUAUUUUACAGUAGAAAAUAUAAUAUACUGUAAAUA